UGAUACUUUGAUACUCGUCCGGCUUCUGAUUCGUGAGACUCGUUUGCCGCUGUAUCUAUCAAUAGAAAAAAAUAUCAUUUGGAUGAAUCAGACUCAUGUCGUCUGACUCCACUCGUUGAGAUCUCGUUUGCUACUGACUGAAUGCGUCUACUAUGCGCUACACGAGACUGAACCUUUUGACUCGUGUUGUGUAGCGACACUCGUCCCCCUUGUUCAAUUAAACGCAUGUAGCGGCACUCGUUCCCCUCGUUUAGUCAAACGCAUGUAGCAACAACGGCAAACAAGACAAAGGAAAAGCUAAGCUAUUGAGAGUGCUACGGAGCGGGACCUUUAUUACCCGACGUCACGAUGCAAGUUUCGUUCCUUUUCUCUUCUCGACUCGAUUUAUAUACUGGAAAUCAAGUUAGUAGAGCUAUUUGAUGAUUGGUAGAGGAGUAAGGGCUCUGAGCGAGUCAAUUGUCAGCUCAUAGAGGGUGCACCAGUACUAUACACGGAUGUAUGAUGAUACUCUACACAGAUGUACAAUCGUAUGAAACUGUAUGAUUCUUUUGUCUCCAUACGAAAGAAAGGGGGCCUCCCAACGAAACCGCUCCUCUUUCAUCGAGGCAGGACCCGCCACAUCAAGGGAGACACGCUCUUUCUUCUUGCUACACUCAACAGUUCUUCCCAUACAAGAAGAGUAGAUGAUGAUGUGGAGUGAACGGAGGUUUUACAUCAUUGAAGGCUCUUUCUGCAAACUUUAUAACGACGAGGUUUCAAGAACUAAUAUAAUUCUAAUAUAGCUGCUUUUUUGAGUCAAGGAUGAAGACUCUACUGGACAGACCCUAGUGUAGAGAAGAGUUUCAAGGGUAGAACUGGGGAACAAGGAAAUGUAGAUCGACACUUGCCUACACUGCUCGUUCAGUCAUCGAUAGGUAUGUAACGUGUUGUCCGCUUAUCCCUACCUGAUGCAAUCCCCCCUUUUUUGGCAUCAGUGAAACUUGACUCGAUGUAGGGCCCCCGAGGCAUCAGCGGAACUUGACUCGUGUCAACAAGGUUU
RNAcentral lists this long non-coding RNA (1039 nucleotides) under Amborella trichopoda. RNAcentral describes it as "long non-coding RNA (ATRI_LNC001033)". Lineage: Eukaryota; Viridiplantae; Streptophyta; Magnoliopsida; Amborellales; Amborellaceae. The record is from RNAcentral.